AACGAACGCUGGCGGCAGGCUUAACACAUGCAAGUCGGACGCAUGUCUUCGGACAUGAGUGGCAGACGGGUGAGUAACGCGUGGGAAUCUACCCUUUGGUACGGGAUAGCUCCGGGAAACUGGGAUUAAUACCGUAUGUGCCCUGGACUUAAGGUUUGGGGAAGGAUUGAUCGCCAAGGGAUGAGCCCGCGUCGGAUUAGCUAGUUGGUGGGGUAAAGGGACCCACCAAGGCGACGAUCCGUAGCUGGCUGAGAGGAUGACCAGCCA
This 267-nucleotide ribosomal RNA is filed under the name uncultured bacterium. Its description in RNAcentral is "partial 16S ribosomal RNA". It matches the Rfam family "Bacterial small subunit ribosomal RNA", at positions 29 to 310 of the family's 1533-position model. The record is from RNAcentral.